UGCCAGCCGCCGCGGUAAUACGAAAGGUGCAAGCGUUAAUCGGAAUUACUGGGCGUAAAGCGCGCGUAGGCGGUGUGUUAAGUCGGAUGUGAAAGCCCAGGGCUCAACCUUGGAAUUGCAUCCGAUACUGGCACGCUAGAGUGCAGUAGAGGGAGGUGGAAUUUCCGGUGUAGCGGUGAAAUGCGUAGAGAUCGGAAGGAACACCAGUGGCGAAGGCGGCCUCCUGGACUGACACUGACGCUGAGAUCCCUAAGCGUGUGGGUCAAACCGGGUUAGAUG
Molecule: ribosomal RNA, 279 nt
Filed under: uncultured bacterium
Lineage: Bacteria
Description: partial 16S ribosomal RNA
Rfam family: Bacterial small subunit ribosomal RNA
Source: RNAcentral